CCUACGGGUGGCAGCAGUGGGGGAUAUUGGACAAUGGGGGCAACCCUGAUCCAGCCAUGCCGCGUGUGUGAAGAAGGCCCUCGGGUUGUAAAGCACUUUCAGUGAGGAAGAACGCCUGGUGGUUAAUACCCAUCAGGAAAGACAUCACUCACAGAAGAAGCACCGGCUAACUCCGUGCCAGCAGCCGCGGUAAUACGGAGGGUGCGAGCGUUAAUCGGAAUUACUGGGCGUAAAGCGCGCGUAGGUGGCUUGAUAAGCCGGUUGUGAAAGCCCCGGGCUCAACCUGGGAACGGCAUCCGGAACUGUCAAGCUAGAGUGCAGGAGAGGAAGGUAGAAUUCCCGGUGUAGCGGUGAAAUGCGUAGAGAUCGGGAGGAAUACCAGUGGCGAAGGCGGCCUUCUGGACUGACACUGACACUGAGGUGCGAAAGCGUGGGUAGCAAACAGGAUUAGAUACCCGGGUAGUC
RNAcentral lists this ribosomal RNA (465 nucleotides) under Vreelandella stevensii. Its description in RNAcentral is "partial 16S ribosomal RNA". It matches the Rfam family "Bacterial small subunit ribosomal RNA", at positions 338 to 795 of the family's 1533-position model. Lineage: Bacteria; Pseudomonadati; Pseudomonadota; Gammaproteobacteria; Oceanospirillales; Halomonadaceae. The record is from RNAcentral.